AACGCAACUUGCGCCCUAUUAGGGCAUGUCUGUUUGAGUACCGCAAUCUUCUGCAGCAAUGCGAAUUGAUCAUGGCGUUGGGCCUUGAUUUAAAGGUAGAAUGCUUGUUCGAGCCUUGGGUUUGGAACUGUGUGCCAGAGACGCGAGUCUUCUCAUAGUCCAGCUCAGGAUGCUAGAGCCUAUAUUCUUUAUUUUGGUCUCAAAUCAGGCAAGACUACCCGCUGAACUUAA
Molecule: unclassified non-coding RNA, 231 nt
Filed under: uncultured fungus
Lineage: Eukaryota; Fungi
Description: partial contains 5.8S ribosomal RNA, internal transcribed spacer 2, and large subunit ribosomal RNA
Source: RNAcentral